UGGAACCCAUCGGCUUUCUGUAGCACUUUCCCAAAACCACUGGAGUUUGCAGAGAUCUGUGAUCACCUUUAGUUCCAGCCUCAUCCUGUCCAUCUCGGUGCCUGUACAGAACUCCCCAAAGCGCACUUGAACUGAGCCUGAACUAACCAUGGAUGAGCUGACGGUGGAAAACUGUGGGAGCAGGAGUGGUUGCAACUGUAUCAUGGUAAGAAUAAAAAGAAAGCAAGUUCCAAAGGGUGGAGCCAAGCAGCCAGCAAAGACCACAGAUCCUGCCGUAACGAGGAAGACAAAGCAGAAGUGUGCGGUGAAGGCUGGGGACAUGCCUCACACGCUGUGAGAUCAUGAGGACCCGAGUUCAGAUUCCAGCAUCCGUGGAAAAGACACUUGGCCAGACAUCAACCUGUGGUUUUCACAGUUACACACCACA
Molecule: long non-coding RNA, 427 nt
Organism: Meriones unguiculatus (Mongolian gerbil)
Lineage: Eukaryota; Metazoa; Chordata; Mammalia; Rodentia; Muridae
Exons: 3
Source: RefSeq, a predicted model, not a curated record